Molecule: RNase P RNA, 446 nt
Filed under: Candidatus Magasanikiibacteriota bacterium
Lineage: Bacteria; Candidatus Magasanikiibacteriota
Description: Candidatus Magasanikbacteria bacterium RNase P RNA component class A
Rfam family: Bacterial RNase P class A
About the family: Ribonuclease P (RNase P) is a ubiquitous endoribonuclease, found in archaea, bacteria and eukarya as well as chloroplasts and mitochondria. Its best characterised activity is the generation of mature 5'-ends of tRNAs by cleaving the 5'-leader elements of precursor-tRNAs. Cellular RNase Ps are ribonucleoproteins.
Source: RNAcentral
UAUAAAGCCGGAGCAAUCGCCUUUGUGGUUUAAAAGCCACAGGGGAGGAAAGUCCGAACACCCUUCCCGACUUAGUCGGGAUGUCAUGACCGUGGGUAACGCCCACCCUUCCCGACUUAGUCGGGAAGAGGGACAGUGCCACAGAGACAAUACUAGUGAGAAGGGCACCCGCCGAUUCGACGGGUUGCUCGUCCCGACUUAGUCGGGACUCGCAAAAGGUGAAAAGUGUACCGAUGUUUUUACUCUCGAGAUAAAAGCUACGGUGCUCGCCUCAUGGUGACAUGAGCGCGUGGUAAACCCGGUUUGGUGCAAGAGCAGCGUUCUCACGUUUGGUGGGUUCGAAAAGGUAGCUCGCAUGAGCUGCACAGCAAUGCGCAGCCAAGAUACAUGAUUGCGUCCCGACUAAGUCGGGAUACAGAAUUCGGCUUAUGAAGGCCUUAUAAGAG